Molecule: ribosomal RNA, 437 nt
Rfam family: Bacterial small subunit ribosomal RNA
ACGGGAGGCAGCAGUGGGGAAUAUUGGGCAAUGGGCGAAAGCCUGACCCAGCAACGCCGCGUGAGGGAAGAAGGUUUUCGGAUUGUAAACCUCUGUCCUAGGUGACGAAGGAAGUGACGGUAGCCAAGGAGGAAGCCCCGGCUAACUACGUGCCAGCAGCCGCGGUAAUACGUAGGGGGCGAGCGUUAUCCGGAUUUACUGGGUGUAAAGGGCGCGUAGGCGGGGAUGCAAGUCAGAUGUGAAAUCCAUGGGCUUAACUCAUGAACUGCAUUUGAAACUGUAUCUCUUGAGUGUCGGAGAGGUAGAUGGAAUUCCUAGUGUAGCGGUGAAAUGCGUAGAUAUUAGGAGGAACACCAGUGGCGAAGGCGAUCUACUGGACGAUAACUGACGCUGAGGCGCGAAAGCGUGGGGAGCAAACAGGAUUAGAUACCCUGGUA